RNAcentral lists this ribosomal RNA (506 nucleotides) under uncultured bacterium. RNAcentral's name for it is "partial 16S ribosomal RNA". It matches the Rfam family "Bacterial small subunit ribosomal RNA", at positions 29 to 523 of the family's 1533-position model. The record is from RNAcentral.
AGUGAACGCUGGCGGUAGGCCUAACACAUGCAAGUCGAACGGCAGCACAGGAGAGCUUGCUCUCUGGGUGGCGAGUGGCGGACGGGUGAGGAAUACAUCGGAAUCUACUCUGUCGUGGGGGAUAACGUAGGGAAACUUACGCUAAUACCGCAUACGACCUACGGGUGAAAGCAGGGGACUUUCGGGCCUUGCGCGAUUGAAUGCGCCGAUGUCGGAGUAGCUAGUUGGUGGGGUAAAGGCCCACCAAGGCGACGAUCCGUAGCUGGUCUGAGAGGAUGAUCAGCCAAACUGGAACUGAGACACGGUCCAGACUCCUACGGGAGGCAGCAGUGGGGAAUAUUGGACAAUGGGCGCAAGCCUGAUCCAGCCAUACCGCGUGGGUGAAGAAGGCCUUCGGGUUGUAAAGCCCUUUUGUUGGGAAAGAAAUCCAGCUGGCUAAUACCCGGUUGGGAUGACGGUACCCAAAGAAUAAGCACCGGCUAACUUCGUGCCAGCCGCCGCCGUAA